UCCUAGUAAUGGAGCAGGGUAAAUUCUUCAGUGCCAGAUAUGUCACAGGUCUCUAAGCUAAAGUUCACUAACCAAUUACUGGGUGUACUGAAGAAGGGAGUCCUCUUCAGACAUGGAUUGAAAUGGAUGACCACUGAGAUCUCUUCCAGCUCUGAAGUUCAGUGAGAAUUAUCCUGGAGAUGGCAGCAAAGUACAUAGAAGCAGGGAAGCAAAGCAUAACACAUAAACAAGCUGAGAGAUUAAUGAUGCAGUCCAAGUUUGAUGAUGACAAUCCUGAAAUGCAUCAGCCUCUCUUACUUUUCCAGCAACACUGUAGGUCCAGCUCUCUGUCUUCUGUGUCAUCGGAUGUGGGCAGGAGGGUCUUGAGAGCAAAGAUGUAUUGCAAUAAAAUGCAUGCUGUAGUCAGGAAACAAUGAAUAAUGCUCUACAGACAUAGAAGCAUGGAGCAGAAAUGGAAGAGAGAGCUAUUUAACUCAGUGAAGGAAGAAUUAAUCAACAGUCAUUAUCAUCAUCACCAUCAUUUUAGCUAAUAGUUAUAUGGCACUUUAAGGUUUGCAAAAUGUGCAUUGUCUUAUUUUAUUCUCACAACAAUCCUGGGAAGGAAGAGCUACUAUUAUCCCCAUUUUAUAGAUGAGGAAUGUUGGACAGACAGAUUAAAUGGUUUAAGAAUUAUGUAACUAGUGAAUGUCAGAGGCUGGAUUUGAACUUGGGUAUUUCCAAUGCCAGGUCCAGUCCUCCAUUCACUGCUCUGUUGGUUAUGGGUGGACUCAAGACAUAGUAAAGUCAUUAUAAACUGGAUGACUUCUUUGGGAAUCUUGUAGAGGGUUUCUUGCUCAAUUAUAAUUUCCCUCAAUGGCCUUUGAAGUUCAUUUCAAUUCUGAUCUCCCGGGAAUGGACUUAUUGCAACUUAUUUAGAGCUACCCUGGAAAUGAAAACUUGGGGUAAAAGUAAAAGCUUUCUAAAGGAAGGCUAGCGAUAAUCACAGAAAAGCAAGUCAAUUUGAAUUCUACAACUCUUAUAUGUUCAAUUUAUCACACAUUUUAAAAGAAAAUCUAGCUUUCCAAUAGAAAUUUAAAGUUUCAUAUACAGUCAAUCCCCUCUCUGUUCUAUGCAACUGGAAUUUUUCAUUUUAUUUGAUAUUAGUUAAGUUCAGAAUAAAAACUUUUAAAAA
Molecule: long non-coding RNA, 1171 nt
Filed under: Monodelphis domestica (gray short-tailed opossum)
Lineage: Eukaryota; Metazoa; Chordata; Mammalia; Didelphimorphia; Didelphidae
Description: lncRNA (ENSMODG00000031925.2)
Source: RNAcentral